ACGACGGUGGCUAAUGGUUAGAGCGUCUUCCUCGGAUGCAGAAGGUCGCAGGUUCAAACCCCGGCCGAUUCAUA
Molecule: non-coding RNA, 74 nt
Organism: Potamilus streckersoni
Lineage: Eukaryota; Metazoa; Mollusca; Bivalvia; Unionida; Unionidae
Source: the annotation of a GenBank genome assembly